Sinocyclocheilus rhinocerous is the source of this 740-nucleotide long non-coding RNA. RefSeq lists it as uncharacterized. The record is from RefSeq and is a predicted model, not a curated record. The transcript is spliced from 2 exons. NCBI's taxonomy places the organism in Eukaryota, Metazoa, Chordata, Actinopteri, Cypriniformes, Cyprinidae.
UUGGUAAUGCAGCAAAAAACUCUCAGGUGUGUGACAUUCUGUUGGAGAAACACAACAUCUAUGUGCAGGCCAUAAAUUACCCAACAGUGCCUCGUGGAGAAGAGCUGUUGCGGUUGGCUCCUUCUCCUUUCCACAAUCCCAUUAUGAUGAACUAUUUUGUAGAGAAACUGUUGGAAGUCUGGCAGGAGGUUGGACUGCCGCUGAAUGGACCAGCUAUGGCAUCCUGCACCUUCUGUGAUCGGCCUCUUUAUUUUGACCUCAUGAGCGAGUGGGAGAAGUCCUACUUUGGGAAUAUGGAGCCGAGAUACAUCACUGUGGCUGCACAGUGAGUCAGUAUCAGCAGACCAAGAUGAAGAUCUGUUUUGUCAGCACUGAAUAUUUAAAGCACUGUUUGUGGCAAUAUGUGAUACAAUAGUGUUUCUGUAUUGUUUGCUGUGACUGUUAAUGAUAAAAAAGAGAAUUUGUUUUCACAUAUUCGUAUAAAUGUACCACUAAAUUUAGUUAUUGAGAUUUUUGCUAAAUUAUACAUUAAUUGUGUGUCCCCUCUGCAUGACGACAAACCUGCACAUGGGCACUUUUUGGUAGUUUUCUGUUAUUGGUAUUAUUGUAUGUAUAUGUAUGCAUGCAAGAGUAUAUUUAAUAACAGCUUACACUGAAACUAUGCCACAUGCUGUCUUCCUGUUUUGGACCAUUUGCACCCAAAUUGAUGAAUGUAAAAAUGCAAUAAAUAUUGUCAGUUA